This 311-nucleotide unclassified non-coding RNA is filed under the name plant metagenome. RNAcentral describes it as "partial contains 5.8S ribosomal RNA, internal transcribed spacer 2, and large subunit ribosomal RNA". The stretch from base 1 to 106 matches the Rfam family "5.8S ribosomal RNA", at positions 49 to 154 of the family's 154-position model. The record is from RNAcentral.
CGAAAUGCGAUAAGUAAUGUGAAUUGCAGAAUUCCGUGAAUCAUCGAAUCUUUGAACGCACAUUGCGCCCUUUGGUAUUCCGAAGGGCAUGCCUGUUCGAGCGUCAUUUCAACCCUCAAGCACCGCUUGGUAUUGGGCGCGGGCCUCCAGCAGGGACGGCCGGCCUGAAAUUCAGCGGCGAGGUCGCCCAGCUUCAGGCGUGGUAGAACAUCCGUCUCGCCUCGCAAGCCUGGGCGGCGUCCGCCGGACAACCCAACCUACUCUUUCAAGGUUGACCUCGGAUCAGGUAGGGAUACCCGCUGAACUUAAGC